ACUUAAAUAGCUUAUGUAGAGCGUAACACUGAAGAUGUUGAGGAAGUUAAAUAACUUUUAGGUA
This 64-nucleotide transfer RNA is filed under the name Gampsocleis gratiosa (Chinese bush cricket). RNAcentral describes it as "tRNA-Phe". It matches the Rfam family "tRNA". From Rfam's summary of the family: Transfer RNA (tRNA) molecules are approximately 80 nucleotides in length. Their secondary structure includes four short double-helical elements and three loops (D, anti-codon, and T loops). Lineage: Eukaryota; Metazoa; Arthropoda; Insecta; Orthoptera; Tettigoniidae. The record is from RNAcentral.